AAGUGAGAAGCAAAAUUUGCAAUCAGUUUCGACCUGAUCUUAGAUAAAUCAAUUUAUCCUCACUUU
This 66-nucleotide transfer RNA is filed under the name Microcerotermes sp. COL2012-T09. RNAcentral describes it as "tRNA-Arg". The record is from RNAcentral. Lineage: Eukaryota; Metazoa; Arthropoda; Insecta; Blattodea; Termitidae. RNAcentral also lists the same sequence under 3 other names.